This 386-nucleotide ribosomal RNA is filed under the name uncultured bacterium. RNAcentral's name for it is "bacterial SSU rRNA". It matches the Rfam family "Bacterial small subunit ribosomal RNA", at positions 29 to 417 of the family's 1533-position model. The record is from RNAcentral.
AUUGAACGCUGGCGGCAUGCCUUACACAUGCAAGUCGAACGGCAGCACGGGGGCAACCCUGGUGGCGAGUGGCGAACGGGUGAGUAACACAUCGGAACGUGCCCAGUAGUGGGGGAUAGCUCGGCGAAAGCCGGAUUAAUACCGCAUACGACCUACGGGUGAAAGCGGGGGAUCGCAAGACCUCGCGCUAUCGGAGCGGCCGAUGUCAGAUUAGGUUGUUGGUGGGGAAAGGCCUACCAAGCCGACGAUCUGUAGCUGGUCUGAGAGGACGACCAGCCACACUGGGACUGAGACACGGCCCAGACUCCUACGGGAGGCAGCAGUGGGGAAUUUUGGACAAUGGGCGCAGGCCUGAUCCAGCCAUGCCGCGUGCGGGAAGAAGGCCU